This 133-nucleotide small RNA is filed under the name Klebsiella aerogenes. RNAcentral's name for it is "RtT sRNA". It matches the Rfam family "RtT RNA". Rfam says of the family: This family represents a bacterial cis-regulatory element known as RtT RNA. The exact function of RtT is unknown although it is thought that it may be involved in changing the cellular response in relation to amino acid starvation. Lineage: Bacteria; Pseudomonadati; Pseudomonadota; Gammaproteobacteria; Enterobacterales; Enterobacteriaceae. The record is from RNAcentral.
UAUUCUGCCCUACGGGGAAGGAUGAGAAGCUUCGACUAAGGUUCGACUCGAGCGUCAGCGAGAGAACGUUGCCACAGGCAACGGCCCGAAGGGCGAGGCGCUUUAGCUCCGAGUAAUCCUUCCCACACUACUG